CUGCACUUGCUUCGGCAGUACUAAAAUUGGAACGAUACAGAGAAGAUUAGCAUAGCCCCUGCGCAAGGAUGACACGCAAAAUCGUGAAGGGUUCCAGAUUUUU
This 103-nucleotide small nuclear RNA is filed under the name Habropoda laboriosa. Lineage: Eukaryota; Metazoa; Arthropoda; Insecta; Hymenoptera; Apidae. The record is from RNAcentral.